This is a long non-coding RNA of Bactrocera tryoni, 671 nucleotides long. RefSeq lists it as uncharacterized. The record is from RefSeq and is a predicted model, not a curated record. The transcript has 5 exons. Lineage: Eukaryota; Metazoa; Arthropoda; Insecta; Diptera; Tephritidae.
AUUUAUUAUGUAAAAUAAUAGUGAAAAGUUGUGAAAAUGUAUAAAAUUGUGAAUUGUGCUUAUAAGUGAGUGUGAGUUUAUAAAUGAGAGUGUGAAAAGUGCUGCGUUCCUCAAUUUCGGCGAUUUUUUGGCAUUCCUGCACUGCCGCCAUUGCAAGCCUCCAAAAUGCAAUAAAAUCUCAUAAUGCUUGCAUAAGCGAUUUUCAACUAUCGAUGAAUAACAAUUAUUCAGCAUAUCAGUAGCAUAUAUGUAGAUCGCUUAACAACAACAAACAAAUGCUGAAUAGAGAAGGUGAAUUGCUGGAUUUUUUGCUAGACACAUAAAUGCUGAGGAAUCAAGAAAAUAUGCGUGUAUUUGUUGGUGUGUCUGUAAUCGAGUAUCCGCAUUCACAAUACCACAUUCUUGCCACUUAAGCGCGAUCAGCUAGCUGGCAGCAGUACCCUCCGUUGUUAUAUGCAGUGAAAUUUCUUGGAAAAAAUUUUAAAUGAAUCUCCAGAAAAAAUCAGCCACAAUUGGAAUGAAAAAUAGCUCUUCCUAUUGCACAUUUCUAUCCAGUUUCCGGCGCCAAUGAAUGCAUUUACAUGGACAACAAACUAAUAAGAAUACAAACAUGUUUCAUUUUAGCUUAUCUGUAAUAGCUAUUAUAUUAUAUUAAGUUUUUCUCAAAUAAA